RNAcentral lists this ribosomal RNA (639 nucleotides) under uncultured Akkermansia sp. RNAcentral's name for it is "bacterial SSU rRNA". It matches the Rfam family "Bacterial small subunit ribosomal RNA", at positions 36 to 698 of the family's 1533-position model. Lineage: Bacteria; Pseudomonadati; Verrucomicrobiota; Verrucomicrobiia; Verrucomicrobiales; Akkermansiaceae. The record is from RNAcentral.
UUGGCGGCGUGGUUAAGACAUGCAAGUCGAACGAGAGAAUUGCUAGCUUGCUAAUAAUUCUCUAGUGGCGCACGGGUGAGUAACACGUGAGUAACCUGCCCCCGAGAGCGGGAUAGCCCUGGGAAACUGGGAUUAAUACCGCAUAGUAUCGAAAGAUUAAAGCAGCAAUGCGCUUGGGGGUGGGCUCGCGGCCUAUUAGUUAGUUGGUGAGGUAACGGCUCACCAAGGCGAUGACGGGUAGCCGGUCUGAGAGGAUGUCCGGCCACACUGGAACUGAGACACGGUCCAGACACCUACGGGUGGCAGCAGUCGAGAAUCAUUCACAAUGGGGGAAACCCUGAUGGUGCGACGCCGCGUGGGGGAAUGAAGGUCUUCGGAUUGUAAACCCCUGUCAUGUGGGAGCAAAUUAAAAAGAUAGUACCACAAGAGGAAGAGACGGCUAACUCUGUGCCAGCAGCCGCGGUAAUACAGAGGUCUCAAGCGUUGUUCGGAAUCACUGGGCAUAAAGCGUGCGUAGGCUGUUUCGUAAGUCGUGUGUGAAAGGCGCGGGCUCAACCCGCGGACGGCACAUGAUACUGCGAGACUAGAGUAAUGGAGGGGGAACCGGAAUUCACGGUGUAGCAAAUCACUAGUGAAUUC